This 28028-nucleotide long non-coding RNA is filed under the name Brassica napus (rape). RNAcentral describes it as "long non-coding RNA (BNAP_LNC001244)". Lineage: Eukaryota; Viridiplantae; Streptophyta; Magnoliopsida; Brassicales; Brassicaceae. The record is from RNAcentral.
GUUAACAAUCCGAUAGAGAAGUUUGAUAAUGGAGAAACCGAGAUUGCUCUAAACCGAUCUGGUCCUUUUUAUUUCAUCAGUGGUAAUAAAGAGCACUGUGCUAAGGGACAGAAGUUGAUAGUCUUUGUCCUCGCCAUCAGAAAUCAACCUAAGGUACCCAUUUCCCCUGCCAAAGCUCCGUCGACUGCUCAACCCCCGAAGUCUCAUUCCCCGGUAGUUGCUCCGGCGAAGGCUCCCUCAACCGCUCAUUCGCCUAAAUCUCAUUCCCCGGUCUCUCCGGUUGCACCGGCCAAAUCUCCGACAGCUCACUCCCCCGCUUCUCAUAUUUCUCCGGCGAAGGCUCCGUGGACUGUUCAACCUCCAAAAGCCCAUUCCCCUGUUUCUCCAACUGCACCGGCGAAAGCUCCAACAAUGGCUCAUUCGCCUAAGUCCUCUGUUUCCCCAUCCCCGCACCCUGUUGCUCACUCACCGGCUGUGUCUCCGUCCAAAGCUCCAGCAACGACCCCAGCUAAACAUUCUCCUUCGCCGUCCCCCACAAACUCUCCAAAAUCAUCCCCUGCUACUCCUCCAAAGGCCUCACCAUCUACCCCAGAGAAACCUCCCAAGUCUACUCCAGCUUCUCCAGCGCCUGAGAAGACUCCACCUUCGUCCCCAACUCCUUCUGACGACAACAUGGCGCCGGCGCCAAGUCCCAGUGCAGCAGCUGUUGUGACCGUUACUUCGGUUAUGUCUACCCUCUUCACUGUGGCUUUUACCGUUUCGAUGUUUGCUUAAGUUUUUUCUUUUAAGAAUGGUUAUGUGUGUUUGAUUUACAUUUCUUUAUUCUGUUGUUGCUGGGUUUUUAUUAUUUGUUCUGAGUGUGUCCUUGUGUUUGCAUUAUGAAUUAUUACUUCUGUUAUUAAUAUCGCCGUGUUUGUUCUAAAAGCAUUUCAUUCGACAUUUAGAUGUAGGAGUGGGCAAAAAAAAAUGAACCAAACUAAACCAAACCGACCCUACUAAAUCCAAACCAAAAUAUACAUCUACAUCAUUUGGUUUGAGAUUUUAUAAACUAAAUGGUUCAGUAUGGUUUGGCUUUAAACCAAACCAAACCGAAUUGUUUUUUUUCUAAGUAGAUUAAUUAAAUAUAUUAAUAAUACUGAAAUUUAAUAUAUUUAACAUUUAAUUUAAACUAGUAAACAUAAUUUUAUCCAUUUUACUUUUAAAUGAAUAAGAUACAUACAACUACAAAUAAAAUAAAGAAUAUAAAUUGUAUAGAUUAACAUCAAAAUUGAAAAAUUACCAUGUAUAUUAGGUUUGAAAAUAAUAAUAUAAAAUUAUUGGAUUACAUAAAUAAAUUUGGACACUAAAUCAAUAUUUUCUUCAUAUGAUGGCGUAAAUUUGGAGGAGGUGAAGGCAACAACUGAGCUCGUUUCAAAUUAUUUUAUUUUAUUACUCUUUGUUUUUAUGUUUAAAUUUUAAAAUCUAUGUUAAAAAUGUUAUCUUUCAAUAUGUUUUAUUUAAUAAAUUAAUUUUAUCUUUAAAAAAAAAUUUAUAAUUAUUUUGUUAAGAACUCUUAGUUAAGAAACUACCAUUGGAGGCACAAAAUCGAACAGUUUCUUAACUAGAAUCCUUAAACCCACUUAAAUACAUUUAAUUAAUUAAAUAAUUAUUAAAGAAACCCACUUGAGUUUCAUGGAUAAUCAUGCUCUAAAUGCCUCUCAAUCCUUUCUGUCAACGUUCAAAUCCAAUUAUGAUUUAUUACCUUAAACAAAAAUAUUCCUUACUAUUAAAGCAAGAAGUAAUCUGUCACAUUUUCAUUUCCCAUUUUUGUAAGAUUCGCCUCCAAGUCUCCUAAACUUCUAGCACUAUAUAACAAUACUCAUUCCCCAAGAACCAAAGACGCACAAAAACCUAAUCUCAGAUCUCGCCGCUUCUCUUUAACCAUGGUGGCCCUCAUGAGAAGUCUCUGUUUUUCUUUCAUCGUCUUGGCUUCUAUUGCGACCCUCUUCUCAGUUGCGGAUGCACAUAAGUUUCAGGUCGGUGGUAAAGGCGAUUGGGUCGAAAAACCACAUGAGGGUUACAAUUCUUGGGCUGAAAGUAAACGUUUCAAAGUCCAUGACACAAUCCGUAAGAUCCUUUCUAUUGCUAUUAGUUUAUAUUACGAGUUUUAUUUAUAUAUAUAUAUAUGUGAUUGUGUUUGACAAAAAAAUAUUAAAAUCUUGUGUAGACUUUAAGUAUGCCAAGGGAUCAGACUCGGUGCAAGUAGUGGCGAAAGCAGAUUACGACGCAUGCAACGUUAACAAUCCGAUAGAGAAGUUUGAUAAUGGAGAAACCGAGAUUGCUCUAAACCGAUCUGGUCCUUUUUAUUUCAUCAGUGGUAAUAAAGAGCACUGUGCUAAGGGACAGAAGUUGAUAGUCUUUGUCCUCGCCAUCAGAAAUCAACCUAAGGUACCCAUUUCCCCUGCCAAAGCUCCGUCGACUGCUCAACCCCCGAAGUCUCAUUCCCCGGUAGUUGCUCCGGCGAAGGCUCCCUCAACCGCUCAUUCGCCUAAAUCUCAUUCCCCGGUCUCUCCGGUUGCACCGGCCAAAUCUCCGACAGCUCACUCCCCCGCUUCUCAUAUUUCUCCGGCGAAGGCUCCGUGGACUGUUCAACCUCCAAAAGCCCAUUCCCCUGUUUCUCCAACUGCACCGGCGAAAGCUCCAACAAUGGCUCAUUCGCCUAAGUCCUCUGUUUCCCCAUCCCCGCACCCUGUUGCUCACUCACCGGCUGUGUCUCCGUCCAAAGCUCCAGCAACGACCCCAGCUAAACAUUCUCCUUCGCCGUCCCCCACAAACUCUCCAAAAUCAUCCCCUGCUACUCCUCCAAAGGCCUCACCAUCUACCCCAGAGAAACCUCCCAAGUCUACUCCAGCUUCUCCAGCGCCUGAGAAGACUCCACCUUCGUCCCCAACUCCUUCUGACGACAACAUGGCGCCGGCGCCAAGUCCCAGUGCAGCAGCUGUUGUGACCGUUACUUCGGUUAUGUCUACCCUCUUCACUGUGGCUUUUACCGUUUCGAUGUUUGCUUAAGUUUUUUCUUUUAAGAAUGGUUAUGUGUGUUUGAUUUACAUUUCUUUAUUCUGUUGUUGCUGGGUUUUUAUUAUUUGUUCUGAGUGUGUCCUUGUGUUUGCAUUAUGAAUUAUUACUUCUGUUAUUAAUAUCGCCGUGUUUGUUCUAAAAGCAUUUCAUUCGACAUUUAGAUGUAGGAGUGGGCAAAAAAAAAUGAACCAAACUAAACCAAACCGACCCUACUAAAUCCAAACCAAAAUAUACAUCUACAUCAUUUGGUUUGAGAUUUUAUAAACUAAAUGGUUCAGUAUGGUUUGGCUUUAAACCAAACCAAACCGAAUUGUUUUUUUUCUAAGUAGAUUAAUUAAAUAUAUUAAUAAUACUGAAAUUUAAUAUAUUUAACAUUUAAUUUAAACUAGUAAACAUAAUUUUAUCCAUUUUACUUUUAAAUGAAUAAGAUACAUACAACUACAAAUAAAAUAAAGAAUAUAAAUUGUAUAGAUUAACAUCAAAAUUGAAAAAUUACCAUGUAUAUUAGGUUUGAAAAUAAUAAUAUAAAAUUAUUGGAUUACAUAAAUAAAUUUGGACACUAAAUCAAUAUUUUCUUCAUAUGCAAAACCCAUCAAUUUCAUUUUUGUUGCAUAUGCAUAAUUGUAUAAAAUAUUUUUUUUGUUAUGAUAAUGUGAACCCCACCCCCCUUCUUUUUUUAUUUUUUAUUUCAUUUUAUUUGAAGAAAUUAAUUUUAUAGUUAUAUUUUGUAACUGAAUGAGAACAAAAUUUAAAAAUCAACUCGAUUGAACUAAACAAACACAAACAAAACCAUAUUAAACUGAAUUAAACACAAACUAAACCGAACUAAAAUCAAACUGAACCAAACUAAUUUGUGUUGACUUUGGUUAUAGUUUUUUAAACCCAAAUAAACCGAACCCAAAAACUAAACCGAACCAAAACCAAACUAAAACCAAACUAGGGGACAUGUACCUCGAUAACUUUUUUAAAACUAUUGAAACAUUCCAUAUACCAGUGUAUUCACAAUAUAUGAACAAAGUCAAUACAGAAGUUCAAAAACUAUGGGCUUUUAAUGAAAUAGCCCACAAAAAAAAGAGCAAGAAAAACGCUGUGCUUUUAAAAGAAAAACAUUUUAAAAAUCUAAAAGAAACGAAGAAGAGAGAAAAAAGGAAUCAAUCACACUGUUGGGAAAGCAGCCAAGAGAAUCGGUUUUCAAUCUCUCCGAGAAUCAAAUGGCUGCGGCGGAGGCGAUGAUCGGCUUUCCGCAGGCGUAUCUGGAGAGUAGAGAGGUGAAGGAGACAAGCUCGCUAGUAACUGAACUCUGCCGUCACUUUUACACACAGGGUUGGGUGUCCGGAACAGGAGGCAGCAUCACCAUCAAGGUCCACGAUGCUUCUAUCCCUAAACCCGACCAGCUCAUCGUCAUGUCUCCUUCAGGUUUCUCUCUCUCCCCGUGUCUGUGUUUAGUAGUGUUCUUUGUUUUGUACAUUUGAUUGAAAUGAAAAAAAAAAGGUUUAAACUUGUUGUGGUGGGUGCUGAUUCGAGUUUGUGAUGUGGUGAAGGUGUUCAAAAGGAGAGGAUGGAGCCUGAGGAUAUGUACAUCUUAUCUCCUAAUGGAUCUGUUAUAUCUGCACCCUCUCCUAAGCCUUACCCUAAUAAGCUUCCCAAGUGUACUGAUUGUGCUCCUCUUUUCAUGAAGGUAUUUCUUUUUUUUUCUGUGUAAUUAGGCAAUCUUCAUACCCUAAAAAAUAAAGAACAUCAAAAUGAUUGAAUAUGCAUGAAAACCUAGGUUGCAUGGAAACAGAAACGGAUACGUUGAAACGAAACGUUUCGAAAUGUGGAAACGUGAUUUUUGAUUUUUUAUGAUUUGGAAACAUUUUAGAAACGUCUAUAUAUAUAUAUAUAUAUAUAUAUAUAUAGUGAGGAAGCUUUAAUAUGAAACACAAGAAUGAUUUUUUCACAUUUUCAGAUAAUAGCCUAUCCUAAAGCAACAGCAGUGUUGGUACGCAAUCAUGGAGUUUACAUUUGGGGUGAUUCCUGGAUCCAUGCUAAGACUCAGGUUUCUGAAAGCCACUUCUGUUUUGUUAUGUUUCAUUCAAAUACAUUUGCUAUAUAAAAACUUGUAUGCUUGCUUGUUUCCAGGCUGAAUGUUACCAUUAUUUGUUUGAUGCUGCCAUCAAGCUUCAUCAACUGGGUCUGGAUGCUGCUACUCCAGAACACGGGCCUAUCGAAAGAGCCAUACACUCACAAAACCAAACAGAAUCAACUCGGGUAUAAAGCCUAUGGUUUCUAUCGUCUUACAUGUUACAUCCAAUAGUCAAGGAUUCACAAAAAUCUAGUUUUAGUUAUAUUCUUUUUUUGGUUGCACAGAGAUGCAUUGUCCUAGAUAUUGAAGGGACAACAACACCCAUAACAUUCGUCACGGAUGUUCUCUUUACCUAUGCUCGUGAAAACGUUGGGAAGCAUUUGAGUUUGACGUACGACACAGCAGAAACUCAAGAGGAUAUUAAGUUGCUGCGGUCUCAGGUAAUAACGAAUUUUCUUUAUUGUCUUAUCAUCUCUUGUAAUAAACAAGUGACCAAAGUUCAUCUCUGGUAUAUAUGUUGCAGGUUGAGGAAGACUUGAGACAAGGUGUAACCGGCGCUGUUCCCGUACCUCAUACUGGUGAAGGAAAAGACGAGGUCAUUGCAGCUAUCGUCUCUAAUGUGGAGGCAAUGAUAAAAGCCGAUAGAAAGAUCACUGCUUUAAAGGAAUUACAAGUGAGGAAACAAAAAAACAAGAUUCCAACUUUUUAUGUUCUGUUUUGUUGAUUUUUGUAAUGUCUGAUAUGGAGUUUCUGUAUUGAAGGGUCACAUAUGGCGAACAGGUUUCAAAUGUAAUGAACUGAAGUCUGUCGUUUUCGAAGAUAUAGCAGACGCUUUAGAGAAAUGGCAUUCUUCAGGAACUAAGGUAUGUUCAUGUAAAGCUUUUAGGAGAAAUGUCGUUUUUAUUUAUUUUUGUUCACAGGUCUAACGUGGUGUUGUGAAUAGGUUUACAUAUAUUCUAGUGGUAGUAGAUUAGCGCAAAGGCUUCUCUUUGGGAACACAACCUAUGGAGAUCUGAGGAAGUAUUUAUCUGGCUUUUUCGACACUACAAUCGGGUAUAUAAAAAGAGUCCAUCACUUCCAUUUUCAAUAGAAGAUGAUGAUCCAAAGUCUCAAACGUUUCUUGGCUGCAGAAACAAGAAAGAGAGCAGGAGUUACAAGGAGAUUACAGAAACUCUUGGAGUGGAUGAUCCUUCAGAGAUUCUUUUUGUGACAGAUGUUUAUCAAGAAGCUACUGCUGCAAAAGCCGCAGGUAAUAAACACAUGCACAAAACUCUUACCUCUAGAUAAUAUUUUACCUGUGGAACUGGUUAGAGAUUCUGAUGACCUUUUGCGGUUGUGAAAAGGUCUGGAGGCGAUUAUAUCGAUUCGACCUGGAAACGCUUCCCUACCAGAGAAUCACGGGUUCAAGACUGUCACAUCAUUCUCACAAAUUUAGAGAUUCCUCUAUGUGUUGUUUCCUAUUGGUGUUGUACUUGAUAUGAUCACACUUACCAAAUAAAUAGCUUGAUAAUAAAUCUAUAUGUAGAGAGCUUGACAAAGCUCGACUCUGAUUUAUCAGUGAAUUCAGUAAAGUUUGGUUCUUGCAUGUGAGUUAUGAAGUGGGCAAAACGUAACUACUGGGGCCAAAUCUAUUACUAAAAUAUAUUUUAUAUUUUCAAAUAAUAGAAAAGAUAGAACAAAUCUAUACAUAACAUUUAGGAUAACAAGAAUAUAAUUCUGGAAGGUCCAUUUAGGAUAAACAAAACUAUUAAUUUACAUUUUAAAUUAUGAUAGAAUGUGCAUAUUAUUAGGUAUAUAAUACAUAUCAUUUUCAAAAAAUGGCUAUAUUUUAUGUGUUAGUACAUUAGAACAUUACUAGCAUAUCCAAAUAGAAUCCCUUGUACAUUAAUUGAGGAUCAUUAAAAGUUGUAACCUUAAAUUUGUACCAAUUAAAAAGAGAUCAUGUUUAGGUGUCGCUUAAUUAGUAUGACAAUUUAGCUUACGUGGCAGUUUAAGAAUUAAUUAAAAAAAAUGUUGAUCCAAAUCUAAUUACUAUGGAACAUUAUAUUAACCUAAAAUAUAAGAAGCGUGUAUUCUUUUCUUAAAUAAAAGCUACAAAAUUACAUAAUAUGAUUAACAUAUAUAUGACAAUAAAUGACUAUGAAUAAUACAUAUUUGAUAACAAUUUUUGCAUCUUUCUUCAUUUUUGUUUAAUUUUAUACUAUUAAAAAAAUUGAACAAUCACAUUAACCAUAUAAUAAAAAAUUAGAUGUUUUUUUAUAUGUUAUAUUUUGAAUUUUUUAAAAUGACUUUAAAUUACAAAAAUGAGGAAACCUUAUAUGUUAUAUUUUUUUAUAUGUUAUAUUUUGAAUUUUUUAAAACGACUUCAAAUUACAAAAAAAUGUAAGUUUUCCUUAAGCAUACGACUAAAAGCAUUAAAAUGACAUGUAUCAAUUCGAUGAUUGAUCUGAAACCUUUCAAAACCAAAUGAAAGAUAAAUUUCAAAAUAAUUCAACUAUGGAAACAAUACUAUUCACUUUUUUCAAAAAUGUGUUUGGUGGAAAAAAAUAAGGUUUUUGUGUCAUAAUUUGUUUAAUGUCCAAUCCGAUCAACCCAUGAUAUAUUAAUUAUAGUUUAGUUCUAUAAUUUUUAAUAAAAAUUGAUCCGGUCCAUCGAAAAAUAUAUAUAAUAACAACAAAAACAUUGUAUAUGUAUAAAUAAAAUGAUCAAAUAUAUAAAUUAAAUUGUCGAUAAUAUAUAUAAAUAAACUCAUCCCGUACAAAGCGCAAGUCUUAUCCUACUUACAAGUUAUACUUUUAAAAUCUAUGUUUUCAAAAACUGAGUGUGUCAGUUUAUGUUUAGCGGAGAUGAUUUGAGUGAAAUACCUUAGUAUACCUGCUGCAACUGGUUGCCACUAUCCAACUUCAGUGAAAGAAGCUAAUCAGAGAGAGAGACUAGAAAAAAGUAUGAGAGAUCUCUAAAACCAUAAAACCAUUAAACGGGCAUUUGAUUAUUUGGGAAUCAAUCACUACCCCACACAUCACACGCGAGGAACUGAGUGACAAAACUCACAGAUUCUGCAGAGAUGCUUUAGCUAAUGCAACCGUUAUCACAAGAUUCAUAAGUUAAAACAAAGUUCAAAAUUGUCGCGGGUAACAAUUAGAUAUAGUUCAAAAAUAAUAUAGCUCUGAGACUUAUGAGGAAGUAUAGGCUAUAGCAAAAAUUUCUCCAAAGGGCAUACACAUUAUAAUCUCACAGAGAACAUAUAACAAGACUCAUUACAAAACUGGUUGACUAUACAUGGGCGGAUGUAGAAAGAAAUUUGAGAGGUGGAAAAUUAUAGAUAAAUAUGAUAAAAAGAAAUAAAAAUUUCAUGGGGGUAAGUGCCACAUUCUUGAGGUGGAACUAUAUCUUGACAAUUUGUUUAAGUAGAUAGUUUUUAAAAUCAAAAGGGACACUAACUUCAUAACGGUCUUUUGCAAUGUCUUUCCUUUGUCUAACAUUUUUUUGUUGUUGAUAAAGACUUUGACAAAAGAAAAACAAAUGUAAUGAGUAAUAGUUGACUAGUAUUUUUAUAUGGAUAUAUAAAACUGGAUAAAGAAACUAUAAGCCAAAAAGAAUAUAUUAGCGUUGUUUGGUUAUACAUUAAAAGAAGAGAUAAACUGUUAUAUGAGGGAUUAGUUAUGUAGAACUUUGAUAACAACUUGGUUUUAAUUUGCGGUGAUAAUAUUAAAAUUAAGAUUUAAGUUGUUUGGUCGCAUAUCUAAAGUUGUAUAUCCAAAUAUCGUAAUUUUCAGAUAAUGUAAGUUGAAAAGGGUAGCACAUUCAAAGUGGAGUUGCUUGUAACGUGAAGCAAAGAUGAUUCAUUCGCCUUUUGCUUGGUUUUCAACUCUAAUCAUAACGGACUACUUAUUUUGUCUUUUACUUUCUUUUACUCUUUUUCUCCACCUUUUAUUUAAUUUAAAUUUAUUUACAUUCAAAAAAUUAUUUUCCUUCCAAGACAAAAGACAAAGCAAUAGAAGAACAGUAUUAACAUAUAGCUAUUUUUUUAUUCAAGAAAAAUUUGAAAAAACUAUAGACAGAAGAGGAGAAAGUCCAAAGAAUAUGUAGUAAAAGACCAAACGUGCCUCCAUGAUUACUCCAUCAAAUUCAAAGUCAUCACCACCAAAAUGGUCUUCUAUACUAACCUGAUCAUAGAAGUCUUUAUUUCAUAUUGUCUCUCCGAAACUUUCUACUAUAUAUUAGGAGUAUUAGAUAUUACAAUAUUUUCAUAUUACUCGCCAAACUUCCGAUGGAUAUUUACUUAUAUAGACAAAGACCAUUCAUUCUACUCAUGUUUUCUAAUCGUAACCAUCUAAACUUUGAUAUUGUUUUUAUUUGUUGCUGAAAUUUUGACAAAACAGUUUUGUAAGAAUAUUAUUGUCUAUAUCAUAAAGUUGAGCAUAAACAUGAAUCUAUUCGAUCUCGAUACUGAGUGACACACGUUGAAUUACACAUCAUAUAUCAGUAUGAUCACAAUAUAUAAAGGAUCUUUUGUUUAAAAAAAAGAACAAGUCUUAAAUCAGUAUCAUGAUUCAUGAAUAUAUCUUACCUUCCAAUCACAAAUUGCACCGAGUUACUGAGAUUAAUAGUGAGCAUAUAACCGCAUAAACUUUACAGUCGCUCCAUUACUAAUAACUUACAUCUUAGUUAUAUAUAGGUAAACAAAAUCCGAUAAUAUAUUAAUUUAUUAUAGAAUGUGAACACACGUUGGUCAUCGUCAAGAUUUAUGGAUUCCUGGGAGAAGUAACCGGAAAAAGAGGAAGAAGCAGUGGCUGAGAGUCUCUAGGAGUUGAAACUGGAGAAGGGUGAAGAUAAAAUCCUUUUUCAGCAAUGGCUUUGUCUUCUUCAGAUGAACUCCCUAAAGACAAAGGCGAUGACUUGUUGAAGGGGUCAUCGUUGCUUCUCAGUGGCGUAACGGGACUGUUUAGCCCUAGCUUUGGGAAAUCUAGCAUGCUUGGAGACAGAAGAACAUUCUCUGAUGAGCUGUUCCUUGGAGAGAAUCUUGGGCUUUGACCAUUGUGUCCGCUCGAGAACAUCAACCUCUGGGAGUUUUGAAGCCUUAAAGUAUUGAUCAUUAAAUUAUUCUUACCAAACAUGUUGUUAUUGUUUUGUCUUCUUUCGUAGAGUUUAAAACUGUUGGUUUUCUUGAUGGGUGGGAUUGAGAAACCUACUUUGUUGUUGUUCACCGGAGAAGGAGCUUUGUGGUGGUUUUCAGUUUUGGUAUCGGUGGAGGAGCCGGUCAGCAUCUGCACAACUUGUUUGAAAGUGGAAGUGUCUGCUUGAACAAAUGUUGUUGGGUAAGGGUUUGAGAGAUGUUGAUGUUGGUCAUGAUGAUGAUGACGAGGAGAUCUUGUCUGAGGCUGAAACCUAGGAGAUGUGAUUAUGGGAGGGUAGUUUUGCAUGAUUUGUUCUGGUUUUGAACAGAUGGAUGAUGUUGAUGAGACCUCCAUUAAUGUUAACCCUUUGUGUGUAUAUGAGGGGGUGGGGAGAGGAGAGAAGAGAAGAUUGAUUGAUUGAAAGACAAUAAGAAGAAGAGUGGAAGUUGCCGAUGUGAAUAAUGUGUAAUGUUGUUUGGUUUUGUCGUGCGACGACAAUUAAAAAGACUUUAAGGUGAGGUGUCAUGGACCCCUCUCUCUCUCUCUCUCUCUCUCUCUCUCUCUCUCUCUCUCUCUCUCUCUCUCUCUCUCUCUCUUAAAACUUUCCGUAUUUCUUUCUGUGAAAUUAAAUUUUCUUUUUUUUGUUAAAAAAAACAAAUUCUUUUAGAGCAUGGCAUUCUAUAUAAUGGGGGUUUUUUCUUUUGUUUUUCGGUAAAAUAUUACAAGUGGACCUGAUUUUAGUUCAAUUGGCAUUGUUAUUUUUGUGUGUGUUUACCUAAACAAAAUAUAAAAAUUAAUGUUAUAUAUUAAUAGUAAUAACUUAUAUAAACUAAAAAUACAAAAACAAGAUAAUUAAUAAACUAAAAAUAGAUAGUCAAAUUCAAAAUAAUAAUCUUGUAACCAAAAAACUUAUUAUAACACAUAAUUAUGAUCUCAUAUUCUGAUAGAUUGUUUCCAGAUUCAUCAAAAUUAUUAAAAUACUAUCCAAAUGAAUUAUAUGAAAAAGAAAUUGUUGAUUCAUUAUUUUCUUUAAGAUUUGAGUUUGUUUCUCUUAAAUGUUCAGAUGUUUGGUGUUUGGUUUUCUAUGAAAUUUAGGUUUUGAAGUAACAUUGGAUUUUAUUCGUUGAACUCUUUCAAUGUAUAAUAUUUAUUUUGCAUCUUCAAAUGGUGUUGUCUUUUAGUGAUAUUAUGAUAGUAGUAUCUUAUGUUACAAAAAAAUAAAAGUAGAGUUUUAACAUUUUGUAAGUUAUAAUUAAUAAUAAAUUAGUGAAUAAUUAAAAAGUAACAGUUGAUUAUUUUAAGGACUUAUUUGGUACUACUUCACUUUCAGAUUUUGAAAGUUUUUUGAAAAAGAUCCCAUCUUCUAUUAUUCAGCAAAUGAAAAUCAAAUUGACAACGGAGGAAGAAGUAAAACAAACUUUGUUUAUGAUGUACCCGGAUAAAGUUCUUUGCCCGGAUGUAAUUACAUUACGUAUUAGAUUGCAAGCUUUUUAAUUUACGUUUUGUAGUUUCUAUUAUAUUGAGGAUUAAUUUUUUUUAUAUUUCCGCUUGUAUUAUAUUCUCAAACAACAUGUAAAUAGAUACGUUACAAAGGGAACUAAAUUGAAAUAUAACCUUUAUGAGCUCGAAUAUGUUCUCGUUUUAUGAAUUCCAACAACAUUUACACAAAUUAGUGUGAACACAUGAGGAAACAAGUUAAAAACGGUGAUCGUAUCAAAUUCGUUUUAUUUUUGAUUACUUUGUUGUCAACAAAUAUUAAGAAGACAGAAAAUAGAGGAAAAAAAAAAGAUAAGAGUAAGAAUUGUGGGGACUCGAAUUUCCAUUGGUGAAAAUUGUCGUCCCUCCAUGAAGAAUCAAAUUCUUUCAAACUUCAAAUCAUUAGUGUUUUCCAGAAUCCAGUGAUUAAAGAUUUCCUUAAUUGCACACAAAUGUGCAAAGCGAAGCAUAUAUCGAUCUUAUUAUUUAAAACAUCAAGGAAUUCGAAGUCUUCUUUUUUUUUUUCGGUCAAAAGGAAUUCGAAGUCUUCUUGAACUCUAUUGUUGGUAGAUAAAUACCACAAUGAAUCAAUGAUCAGAGUGCACAAAAAGUAGGGUCGGCCCAAACAUUCCGAAAUUUCUUUAUGGCUCUAAAUCAAUGUAGCAAAAUAUAUAACCAAUGAAAACAUAUAAUGGACAUUUUAACAUAAUUUUAUACGUUCUAAUCAGUCGUUUAUUUGACUUUAUGCUAUUGCUAGCACCGAUUAGAAGAUAUAUUUUUUGACCCUAAUUACUUAUAUGUAAUGUACAUACAGGUGUAGUGUGUAUGUAUAACGGAAUAUAACAAAGCUAAUUUCUUCUUCUGUUUUUUUUUCACUGAAAAUUUAAGAUGAUGAAUUCCACCACAAAGAAAAUAAAACUGAGUCGCAAUACUUAGAAGUUUAAAUAAAAAAUAAAUAAGCUAAACUCCAUGUGUUCAAUAUACGUUCAUCACAUAUUUUUAUUACAUAUAUAAAUAUCAAAUAACUGCAAGGCUACAUAUUAAUCAAAAGAUAAGAGUCAACAACCCUUGGAUAGAUAUUGUAUAUACUUAGAAAAUCCAGAAAAGAUUUUGCCUAAAUGGCUUCGUUUGAAAUCCUUAGGCUUUAGAUAGAUAAACCUAUCUAAUUAUUAGUAGUAGUAGUAGUAGUAUGGUAGGAAUAAAAUAAAUAAAUUAUUAUUAGGAACGUGCUUUCUCAUUUGUUCAAUCCCGUCUUUUCCUUAAUGGCCUCAGUGGCACCCUGUGCUUUCUGCUUCAGCUGCUGUCCACCCUGUGCUCCAAUUCUCAUAAAUACGUGAUUGUUUCAUAAAAAUAUAUUUAAGCAUGAGAAAAGAAAAUGGACCUCUGACAAAGAUUCCUUGGCGGAUUGGGCAGCAUUGGAGGCCUUGUCCAUCAGGUUGCUUGCCUUCUCCUACAACAAUUUUUAGUUACUUCUAAUUAAUAUUAAUUAUUAAUCUAAAAACAAUAUUUGUUUAAGCUUAGAUAAACGGUGUUGUAUAGACAAAACCUGGGUUUGGCCUUUAGCUUGGCCAGCGUUGAAGCUCAGGUUCUGACUGUUGUUAGACAUUUUCUUAUCUCCGCUUAAAAAACGAAAUUAUAAUUUGCAAGGGAAACUUGUGACUUCUGAGAAAGAGCAUUACGCAUAGAGGUUUAUAUACAUGUGGGGUCCUCCUGUCGUUACCUCCACGUGGAUUUUUGUUAUUGGAAGUCUGUGUAGUCUUUAACACGUGGCUUUUAAGCUUAGUACUCUCCGGUCGGAUUGGGGGGAGGGAGGUGUUGACCACGAGACAAGCAAAUCUGUUAUAGACUUGUUCCAAAUUCCAAUGUACUUAAUAUAGUCUAAUAUAGUUCUGUUUAUAACCCUUUUUGUGUAGUGCAUUAUCAUUUUAUUUUUGUAUUACAUAUUAAAGGGACACAUAAACAAUUGUAUAAUAGAUAUAACCAAUACUCCAUCAAUGGUCUGCCUCAACACUAAAUAAGAUUCAAAACUUUGAGAAAAUAAUACCAAAAUAGAUAUUAUCCUUCAUUUAUUCGUUAAAGCUAAGAACUCAUGUAUACAACAACAAAAGAUGCUAAGUACCUUUGAGAUAGUCUACUAAUAUCAGUAGAUGGUAAAUAAUAUCUCAUCCAAAGAUUGGAAAAGCAUCAGGUUUUCACGUUCUGAAUGUAAGCUCAUGAAAAAGGAGCUUGUUCGUGCUUGACAUAACAUGGAGUAGAAGGAGUGCUGAAGAUGUUCGUGUUAUAUCUGAGGAAUGACAGUAUUGAAGACCCACGACGGGUAUGAACAAGCAAAUUCAUGUCCAUAAAUUUGCGGGUCUCGCGGGUGAGACCAUGCGGCUUGCGGGUGGGUGGAUAGAGUCCGUGAUCGGUCCGCAGGUCAGCCGAUUGUCCGCAUAAAAUAAAUCAAUAUAAUUUUCAGUCGGCUUCAUUCGGUGGAUCUUAUUGAUUCCAAUUCGGAAUCAGUCACCAUGUUUUUUUUUCAAUUUGAACUUCUGCAUGUUAUCUCUUGAGUAGGUAGAAGGGUGAAGUGUUUGCAUGUUCUUCAAUGGAGGAAGCAGAUGGAGAGGUCAUUGCUUCCGCAGAGAUUAUUGCCUCUUCUCGCUCUCAUCGCUGGUUGCAGUGAGGCUGCCACGACCGAAGGCCCUGUUGAAGCGUACCCAGCCCUAAUUUUAAAUGCGGUCAAUAUACUGUUUAAGUAAAAAAAAAAUGUAAAAGGGGUCAAGAUGGAUUCAAACCUGGAUUUUUUGGGUUUGUUUGGAAGGUGUUAGUGGAAAAUAAAUUUUUAAUGAUUUAAUUUUAUGCAGUCUUGUGUUAUUGGUUUAUAGAUUUUCACAUUCUCGCUAAAAUCUAUUGUUAUUAUGAUAGAUUCUAUAAUUCUAUACAAAAUUUUGUUAUUUAAAAAGUUUAGAUUUUAAUGAUUUAUAAAUCUAUUAAAGUUAGUGUUAUUGGAAGUUUUUAUUCUUAACCAUUUAACUUAUGUAACAAUAUUUGAAGAAUACUACAUAUAUCCAACUUUACCGCAUGCUUUCCUUCACAGUUCCUUGUCCAUCUUUCUAAGUUAAUUAUUAAAUAAAAACAAAACAUCAAUUAGUAUAUGCCUAUCAUCACUAUUAAACACGAAAUCAAGCGCAAAAUUCAAAAUAUAAGCAAAAUUUAACCAAAUUCAGAGAUAAACUUGAGAAAAUAAAACAAAAUAUAAAACAAAAAAAUAUUAUAAACAAAAUUAAAUAGUUGUAGAGGAAAAACUGCAUUCCUGAUAAAAUAACUAAGAAUUGUGGGUUGAUCUGAAAUCAUAGUAAAAUAUUCUAAUGAUAACGUUGAGGAAUGCAGUUUUUCUUCUACAACUAUCUAAUUUUGUUUAUGAGGAGGUAGAAAAUCUGGUCUACAACUACCUCCUCACCCAGUCUUUUUUUGUAAGACUUUCCCAAAAUGAAUCGGAGGAGUCAUAUGAGUCCACCAGGCCCAUACUAGUACUUGCUCCCCCAUCGCUAGCACUUUGCAGAUUACAGAAUGAGUCCGCCGGGCUAGUGUAUUCAACCUUGCAAACGACGUAACUCCUCUGCAAAAUCAAUCCACAAAUGACAAAACAAAGUUACAAAAAUAUGAUUUUUAAUUUUUUUUUAACGGACAAGAAAAGAGAGGAGCGCACCAUUUCUUCCGGAAAGGAGAGGUCGGAGAACUUAUGCAUGAUCCACUCGGUUCACUUUCCAUGUGGACUCUUCCCUGUCAAGAAAACCAAAGUCUUCUUAAGACCGAUUUGACAAUGACUGCCCGAUUCUAAAAGGGCAAGAAAACAGAGCAUCGCUUUAUUUAUAAUCUGAUUACUCUCCUCAAAUUGUAUUGCUUCUUUUUGAAGUUAUAUAUCAUACCAUCUUUUGCAUGGUUGAAUACUUGAAUUAACAAUGUUUACUUUAUGAUAAAUUACGUACUAUUUUUUUAAUUUAAAAUAGAUGAAUAUAAUUACACAUGUCUUUGAUGUGUUUGUUUGAAUUUUAGGUUUGAAAUUUUUUCAGUUCUUCUAUGUUCAUCAUUCCUAUUUAAUAUAAAAUCAAUAAAAGAGUUAAAUAUAAAAAUUUUAAAACUAUAAGAAAACUAAAAGCAAAAAAUAUAUAUAAUCUUGAAAAAUAAAACAAAACAAAAGGAAAAUAAAAUAGAUAUGUUAAAAUGAAUUUGGAUAACUUGAAUAUAAAAACUAAUAUAAUGGUAAAAUAACAAAGAAUUAUGAGUCAAAAUGUUGAUAACUAUAAAAUAUCAUCGAAGCAUCAGAAUGUUAUUACAAUUAUACUUUUAACCAUUAUAUUAAAAACGAUUUUUAGAAAUUAGAAACUCCAAAAUUCAUUUAUCUGGAGUUUAAGGAAAAUAUUUCUUAUUAAAACAAAAGUCGUGAUUUAUUCAAUGUAUGAUUUUUAGACCAUAUUUUUGAAAGUCAUGAUUUUAAAUGGGGUUAUCAUUAAUUUUCAUAAUAAUUAAACUUAAGAGCUUCAUUAACUAAACAUCUAUUACAUUCGACCAAAAUAUUUUUCGUUGCUCUAAUCCACGACCAAAAAAUCAAUCUUUCUGAUUUUCCGGCUUAUAUUUUUAAAACCAUAUAACUUUCAGUUUAAUUUAUUAUACAUGAAUCUAUAUUAUAUCAAAUUCAACCUGUUUAUGAUUAUGAAACCAUUAUAAACCCUAUUCAAUCACGAAUAAUAUAGAUCAUAUUCAACAUUGAUAUAACAAUGGAACCAGUUUAUUUUCAGUGGCGUUUUAUAUUUGUGAAUCCGAUCAAUAUAUAUAUAUAUAUAUAUAUACGACAAGUUUAUUUAAACUACUUGACUAAGUUUAUACACAGUCUACUAAUCCAAUUUUUAAAAUAUAGUAAAUAUGUAGUAUAGAUAUGGUUGGAACUCUACAUCAUAACUUCAAAACUUCGAACAAUUUUUUUCUUUUUGAUAUAUAAUUUGUCUUAAAAAAUCUUCACAAAAGGUAGAAUCAAUUGAUAUUGUGUUGGUAAGAUUGAAAAUUUAGAAAUAUAUUGUGGUAUCAAAGGGAAGUCCCCAAACUGAAACCUCAUAAAUUUGGGAUUCUUCUUAUUCUUUUUGAGAUCCAAGGCAGCCAUGUAUGUAGGCACAUCCUGUAGUGAGGAGGUAGAAAACUGGUCUUUCCGAGGAUAAAUGAUGCUAGAGUUGAUUUCGCAGGAGAAAUAAAUGUUGAUAAUCGUCCAGUUUGAAUCUCGAUUAGGCAUACAGUAACAAAGUUUGGAUCCAAAAAAGGUGAAACUCACUAUAUAAUCAUCGUCUUUGUUGGGAAGAUAAGUGGACAAGGAAACAUUUCCGACUAUUUCGGCAUGCAGAACAAGGUGACCAGUAAAUGGAGGCAGGGUAAUGGUUUUGGGAGAUGACUCUAAAGACCAAGGAUUAAGGACUUGGGUGAGAUGUAUGGUGAAAUCAGGGUGUCUCAUGAAAACUGCCCAGCAACGUGAGGUUCCAAGCAGUUUGCAUCCGUCCAACAAUACUUUUGGGAAUUUCUUGCCAGUAAUAUUGAUGAAUUUUUCACUUCUUGGAUUAAAUACCCAAUAAUCUGUAAAGAUUCGUGUUCUUGAAAACUAAGGUUACCUAGCAAUUCAGUGGCGGAUCUAGAAAAUAUUUUGAGUGGAGACAAAAAAUAAUAAAUUAAUUAAUAUAUUUUUAAUAAAAUAUAUAUGUAUAUAUUUUUUAUAUUUGAUAAUGUUAUAUAAAUUUUAUAUAUUUCAAAAGAAGAAAAUAAACUAAUAAAAUGAUACCAAAAAAAUAUAUUAAAGGAAGAGAAAUGAUUUAUCAAGCUACCAAAACUAUUUGGUAAAAAAUUACUAAAUACAAAAUUGAUUUUGAAUUGAAAAGAACCAAAGAACCAAUGAAUUAAAAAAAACUAUAAGAAUGCAACGUAAGAAAAAUUAAUAAUAAUAUGAUAGCUGGCCCAAAGAAUCAAAAAAAUAAAUUAAAAACAGUAAAACCGAUGAACAAAAAAACUAAAAGAAAGCAAGGUGAGGAAAAAGAGAAUAUAUAUACUAUUAUUUAUGAAGUGAUUUUGCUGAUUUGUCACAUUCUUCAUGAUUUUAGAUAAUUUUUGCUUAUUUGUCAUAUUCUUAUUAUUUUUAACUUAAAUAUUUAAUUUAUUAACUGAAAUAAUAUAACUAUUUCGAAAUUUCUAAUUAAUUUAUUAAUUUAAAUAAUAUAACUAUGAUUUUUCUGAUUUGUCACAUUCUCCAUGAUUUUAUCUAAUUUUGUUUAUUUGUCAUAUUCUUAUUAGUUUUAGUUUAAUUAAUUAAUUUAUUAAUUUAAAUAAUAUAACUAUUUUCAAAAUUUCUAAUUAAUUAAUUAAUUUAAAUAAUAUAACUAUUUCAAAAUUUCUAACUGGAACUGUAAUUAUAAUAUUUUAACUUUCAAAAGUUUCUUAUUAUUCUUAAGCUUUAUGAAGUGAUUUUCCUGAUUUGUCACAUUAUCCAUGAUUUAGAUAAUUUUUGCUUAUUUGUCAUAUUCUUAUUAUUUUUAAAUUAAAUAUUUAAUUGAUUAACUGAAAUAAUAUAACUAUUUCGAAAUUUCUAAUUAAUUUAUUAAUCUAUCUAUAUUAUUAUUUAUGAAGUGAUUUAGCUUAUUUGUCAUUAUUUCCAUGAUUUUAAGUAAUUUUGCUUAUUUGUCAUGUUUUAAUUAUGUUUAAGCUGAGUUAUUAAUUUAUUAAUAGUUUUAAUUGAGUCCAUAAUUUAUUAAUUUAAAUAAUAUAACUAUAAAAUAUGUAAUUAAAUAUAUAAUUAUUUUGAUUUUGCUUAUUUUGCUUAUUUGUCAUGUAUAAAUGAUAAUAAAUAAUUUAAUAACAUUUAAUGACUUUUAGUGAUAAAACCCCUCAACUAAAGAUGAAUCGUAAAAAAAAACCCUCAACUAAAAAUCCAGUGAAAUAAACCCUCAAUUUAUAAACCGUUAACAUAUGUCACCCUCCGUCACGGUUUUUUAGACGGAGGGUAACAUAUUAUAUUUAAAAGUUAAGAGAAUUCUUAUAUAUAUUGUGUUGCUAUUUGAAAACAAUAUUUUUAUUAUAAAUUUAAAAAAUUAAGAUAUAAAAUAAUUUAUAAUUAAAUAUUAGUCAAACAAAAAUAUUUAUAUAAAUAUAUUUUAUAAACUAUUUCUAAUAUAUGAGUGUUUAAAACUUUUAACACAAUGAUAAGUACAUAGUUUGAUGAAUGUUUUUUUGAUAUAUAUAAAUAAUUUCAUGUUUGAUUUAACUAUUUAAAAUUAUAAAUAAUAAUUUAACUUGUGACUGAGUUUAAAACAAAUUUUCUUGCUUUUACUUUAAACCAGUUUAAGUUUAAUCCCUAAAAUAAUAUAGCUUUAGUUGGUGUCCACUAGAGAAUGAAUAAAAUAAAAAAUAAAAUUUCAUUUGAGGAAUUGAAACAAUAAAAAAAUAUGAAUUUUUGUUCAACUUUUUCCUUAUCAAAAUUGCUUACAGAAAUUUUUUCUUGUAAAUUUUUCCUCCAUGGAGAAUUUAAAAGAAAAAAGUGGGAUCUACUUUUCAAUAAUUUGACUAAAAUUUCAACAUAACUGGUAUAAAUUUUGAGUAAUAAAGAAAUAAAAUAAUAAAUAUUCGUAAGAUGAUUAUGCCCGCAUGUACGGGUAAAACAGUUAGUAAUAAGUAAUCAAAAAGGAAAAUUAGAAAAAAUAAUAAAAUCGGGUAAAACGUUUUGACGGGGAUUUGAUCGGUGGUUUAGUGGGUGCAUAAUGAGGGAUGGGACAAAUUUUGGUUUCACUAUUAUUUGUGCAAAUAAAAUAGAUGAAUAGAAUUACACAUAUCUUACAUGUGUUUGUUUGAAUUUUACGUUUAAAGUAUUUUCAGUUCGUCUAUGUUUAUCAUUACUACUAGGUAUUAUGUCCGCACAUGCGGGCAUAGUGUUUUUAAAGAUAUUUAUUAGUUUAUAAUUAUUAAAUCAAAAACCAGUAUAAUAAAUUAUUAAUUAUGUUUUAAAAAAUAGAUCAAUCAUUAAAAUUUAUACUUUAUAAUAAAAGAAUAUUAUUUUAGAUAUAUAUUUAAGAAUUAUCUUAUGUUUUAUUGAAAUUCAUUUUUAAUUAUUUAUAUUUUAGAUAAUUUUGAUUAUUAUUAAUUUUAAUCAUUUAUUUAAUCAGAUAGGAUUAAAAUUCGUUUUUAUUUUUGACUAAUUUAUAUAAUUGAUUCAUUAAGGGUAUAAACGAUAUUAACCGCUCUAGCUUUUAACGUGAAAGCUCGAUUCCAAAAAUUUACUUCGUAAAUAAUAGUAUAGAUUAAAUAUAAAAUCAAUAAAAUAAUUAAAUAUUAAAAAAAUAAAAAGAAAAAAAAAUUGAAGAUAUAGUAAAACAAAACAAAAGUAAAAUAAAAUAGAUAUGUUAAAACGAAUUUGGAUAAUAGGAAAAUAAAAACUUGUAUAAUGGUAAAAUAACCAAGAAUUGUGGAUUAAAAUGUUGAUAACUAUAAAAUAUAGUAAAAGCGUUAGAAUAUUAUUUCGGUUAGACUUUAAUCAUUAUAUUAAUAAUUUUUAGAAAUUAAAAACUUCAAAAUUCAUAUUUAGGAAAUAUAUCUUAUUGAAAAAAAAUUCGUGAUUUAUUUCAUAUAUGAUUUUUUGGAUCAUCUUUAGAAAGUCAUGAUUUUAAAUGGGUUUAUCAUUAAUUAUCAUAAUAAUUAAAAUUUAGAGCUUCACUAAUUACCAUCUACUACAUUCUACCAAAAAAAAUUUCGUUGAAAUAAUCAACAACCAAAAAACCAAUCUUUAUAAUCUUCCCCAUAUGCAAAUUUUUGGCUUAUAUUUUUAAAACCAUAUUAAUUUCAGUUUACUUUAUUAUAUAUGAAUAUAUAUUAUAUAAAAUUUAACUUGUUAUGAUUAUGAAACCUUAUAAACCCUAUUCAAUCAUGAAUAUAAUAGAUCAUAUUCAACAUUGUUAUAACUAUGGAACCAUUUUAUUAUUAGUGGUGGUUUAUAUUUGUGAAUCCGAUCAAUAUGUACAUAUGUAUAUAUAUGAAAAGUUUAUUUAAACUACUCGACUAAGUUCAUACACAGUCUGUUAAUCCAAUUUUUAAAUAUAGUAAACCAAUAGUAAAUAAUGUAAAACCUCUAUUUUUUUUUGAACACAAGCAGUAAAAAUUCUAUAAAUUAAUAAUGUUAGGACUUUGAAAUUUUAUUAAUUUAUAAAGUAUUAAUUUACAAAAAAAUUCUGUAGAUUUUUUAUUUUAAGAUAAGAAAAAUAUUUGAUUUUACUAUAUAGACAUUAACUGUUAUUUUUAAAAAUUUGACACUUAUAUUAAUUUAAUUGUAUUAUUUGGUGUAUAUAAUAUAUAUUGCAUAGAACUUAAAUGUGGUUUAAGAUAUAAUAUUACUAAAUCUCAUCAAAUAAUAUAAUAAUAGGUUCUUACAUAUAUAAAAUAUGUAUACAUAUAAAUUAUUAAUUUAUAAUUUUAGUAGGAUCAUAUAUUUAAAUAAAAUUUUCUAAAAAAAUAUUAUUUUAUCAAUUUGUGUCAAAUUUUGAACAGAUCUAAGUUGGGACCAGCGAAAUUGAAAUUAUUAAUUUAUCGAGUUUUAGUUUAUAAAAGUUCUACUGUAUGUAGUAUAGAUACGGUGGGAACGCUACUUCAAAACUUUAAAACAAAAUUAUUUGUUUAGAUACUGGUUUUGCUAAAAAGAAGUACGUGAGACGGCCGCUAAGUGACGUACCCGUGCAACCUAGACCAUACAUAAAGAAUAUCAACAAAACUCUAGAAUCAGUUAUCACUGGUAGAUGAAAAAAGCUCAAAAUAACUUGCUCUUCAUUUGCAAAAAAAAAACUCACUCUUAUCUUUUUAGAAGAAUUAUUGUUUCCAAAUUCUUUGAUUUCAGGUUUAGUAUGCAUCAGAGAUUGAAAGUUUAGUAUGCAUCAGGUUUUCACGUUCUGAAUAUAAGCUCAUGAAAAAAGAGCUUGUUCGUGCUUGACAUAACAUGGAGUAGAAGGAGUGCUGAUGAUGUUCGUGUUACAUCUGAGGAAUGACAGUUAUUGAAGACCCACGACGGGCAGGUAUGAACAAGCAAAUUCAUGUCCAUAAAUUUGCGGGUCUCGCGGGUGAAACCUAUGCUGCUUGCGGGUGGGUGGAUAGAGUCCAUGACGGGUCCGCAGAUUGUCCGCACAAAAUAAAUUAAUUUUCAGUCGGCUUCGUUCGGUGGAUCUUUUAUUCAUUCCAAUUCAGAAUCAGUCACCAUGGUUUUUCAGUUUGGACUUCUGCAUGUUAUCUCUUGAGUAGGUAGAAUGGUGAAGUUUGUUUGCAUGUUCUUCAAUGGAGGAAGCACAUGAAGAGGUCCUCUCGAAGCAUGAUGGUGGAAAGCAGUGGCGGACCUAGCCUUAAUUCUAAAUGCGGUCAAUAUACUGUUUAAGUGAAAAAUACAUGUAAAAAUGGUCAAGAUGGAUUGGAACCUAGAAUUUUUGGGGUUUGUUUGGUAGAAGUUACCAUCUGAGCUACUACUUCUAUAAGCAAUAUAAGCACAAAACACAUUUUAUUAAAUUUUUAGGUGCCAUUUGACACUUUUCUUUUCUUUGUGGAUCCGCCCCCUUGUGAAAAACUUGUUAUUUAGAAAGUAUUAGUAAAAAAUAGAUUUUUAAUGAUUUUAAGAAUAUAUAUAUAUAUAAAUAAUAUAGUGUUAUUGGCUUAAAUAUUUUCAUAUUCUUUCUAAAAUUUAUUGCUAUUGGUAUGAUGAUUCUAUAAUCCUAUACAAAUCUUUUGUUAUUUAAAAAGUUUAUAUUUUAAAGAUUCUACAAAUCUAUUAAAAUUAGUGUUAUUGGGAGUUGUAUUCUUAACAAUUAACUUAUGAAACAAUAUUUAAAGAAUACUACAUACUCCCUCUGUAUCAGUUUAACUAGUGUUUAAGGAUUUUGAUUUUGUUUCAAAAUAAGUGAUGUUUUCACAAUUCUAGGUGAAAUUUAAUGUCAUUUAAAAUUUUGACCAAUUAUAAAAAUACUAUAUCUUUUUCUUAUUGGUUGAAUUAGUUUUAUUUAAUGUUAUUUUAUGUAACCAAAACCAAAUACAUAAAAGUUUGUAUUUUCUUAAUAUAUGUGCAAAAACCUUAAACACCUCUUAAAAUGAUACAUAGGGAGUAUAUCCAACUUUACUGCAUGCUUUCCUUCAGUUUCUUGUCCAUCUUUCUGAGUUAAUUAUUAAAUAAAAACAAAACAUCAAUUAGUCUAUGCCUAGCAUCACUAUUAAACACGAAAUCAAUGAAACCGGUAAGUGCAAAAAUCAAAAUAUAAGCAAAAAUUAAACAGAUUCAAAGAUAAACUUGAGAAAAUAAAAAAAAUGUAAAACAAAAAAAUAUUAUAAACAAAAUUAGAUAGUUGUAGAAGAAGAACUGCACUCCAAAUAAAAUAAUAACAAAGAAUUGUGGGUUGAUCUGAAAUCAUAGUAAAAUAUUUCAAUGAUAACAUUGAGAAUAUCAAAGCACAACUAUGGUUAUUUUUAAGAGAUGUAUAAUAGCAUUAUGUAGUAAACAUGCAAUGCCUAGCUUGUAUGUACUGUUAGUUAUAUAUGAUUAAUUGAUGAACAAGAUUGGAGUCACUCUAGUACCUCCAUCUUGAGGGGGUGUAUAGGAGAUAUAUGAUUAGGGUCAUUAUUGUAAUUAGUUAAUACCUAAUGACUUCUGUAUUAUGUAUAAAUACUGUACUCAUACGUAUCAAUAAAGUAUUAAGCCUGUAUUCAUCGUAUUAUAAUAAAUUUACUUACUUUUACUUUCAUCUAUGACUGAUUUACAGGCUUUACUGUAGCCAUCUUUGCCUAAUUGCACCUUUGUUAACAAUCUGAUCUUUAUCAAUUUUCCAUCCAUUUUCCAAAAUUUUCUUCAUCUUUGAGUGAUUUUGUGUUGUUUUCUCUAUUUUUUUUUUUAAAUUCUCCGUACAGAUUAAUUUCACUGUGUUAUGUCUCUAUUUAUAACCUUCUUGGUUUCUCCAAAUGCGUUGCUUCACUUUGAAGCUUAUGCAUAACUAUUUUUGCAUUGUUGAACUUAAAACACUUUACUUCACGAUGAUUUACUAGUUAUCUUCCAGUAACCAGAACUAGUUGUCCGGCUCUGCUUAUUAGUGUUGCGGUACUGAUUGCCUCUGUCGGAGAAGAAGUACCAGGCAAAGUCCCUGGAUUUAACCCUCGAUAGGGCUUCCAAGAAAGCAAAAUACCAUGGAUCAAAAAUUAUACCAAAAGCAAAUAAAUUAGAAUACGAUCAAUUCAUGGUGUAGUCAUUUAUCAAAAACUUUUUAAAAAGUUAAAAAUGAUUACAUUGGUUAUGAGUUUAAUAUAACUCUAAGUUACUUACCUUUGUUGAAAUAAUAUGUCGCUAUCUCGCUGUAGAUUUCUUUGCCCGACUCUAUAAAUAUUGCUUUGUUAGCAAAUGUCUCUAACAAAAUCUCAACAUUCCUUCUUUGUUAUAUUGAUAUUUUUUUUUUCAAUUAUCUAUGUGUUUUCGUGAUUUUUUUCUUCUUGUAAUUACACAAUGUUGUCUCUAUUUAUAAUCUAAUUAGUUUCCUCAAAAUGUAUUGCUUAUUUUUGAAGUUAUACAUCAUACCAUCUUUUGUUUGGUUUAAUUAACAAUGUUUACUUUAUGAUAAAUUACGUACUAGUUUCUUAAUUUAAAAUAUAUGAAUACAAUUACACAUGUCUUACAUGUGUUUUGUUUGAAUUUUGAUUCAAAAUAUUUUCCGUUCGUCUAUCUUUACAUUACCAUUUAAUAUAAAAUCAAUAAAAGAGUUAAAUAUAAAAUUUAAAAAACUUAAGAAAAUUAAAAGCAAAAACAUAUAUAUAUAUAUAUAUAUAUAUAUAUUUAUUUAUUUAUAUUUAAAAGCAAAUACAAAUAUAGACAACACUGUGUAAUCCUAAUAAGGCAGAUAGAAUUGUCGGCUGUAAUAUAUUUAUGUAAUAUUUCUCAUAAUUUGUAUUAACAUAAUUAACCAGACAAAAAUGAAGUCUAUUACUUGAAAAUGAAGCAAUACAUUAAUGGAAAUUACUUAUGUUAUAAAUAGAUAGAUAAGUCUAUGAUAUAUAUAUAUAUAUAUAUUAAAAUAAAUAAGAAUUAUUGACUUAUAUUAUCAUAGAAAAAAUCUGAGUUUUAUAGAUUGGCUAAAAAAAUUUAUAUAUAGGUUUAUUAAAACUAACAUUAAAUUUUGUUGUUGUAAAUUUAACAAUGGAAAAAUGCAGUUAUAAAAAAAAACAGGUUCAAACUCUUUAGUUAACAACUAUAAUUUAGCAACUAUAAUUCAAACAGGUUAAAAGAGACUAAUUAACUUGGUUAGUGUAAACAUACGAAAUGAAAAGUAUAUUACUUUAAAUUGAAGCAAUACAUUAAUGGAAAUUUCUUAGGUUAUAAAUAGAUAGAUAAUAACUCAAAGAAAAAUAAACUACAAAGAGAAAAAUAAAAAAAAAGGUCAACAUGAGAAUGAACUUGUGGGAGCCUGUUAGAAAAGUUUUUUGUGCUAACAAAGAAGCUAUCUGUGUGGAGAGUCAACAUGCAUAUAGAAAUAUGAAGGAAUAAAUGGUAGUAGAGGAAAUAAAGAAGAUGGUGGAAAGAAGAAGGGAUGAAGUUGAAGCUUCAACUUCAGUAAAAACUACUUUCAAGAAUUAAGUUAAAGAAAUAAUAUAAUGCGUAUUAAGUAUGUGUGAUUAAUUGCUGUCUUUUUUUCUUUCUGUCUUAAUGAAAUACUAGAUUUUGACCCGCGCUUUUAAAGCGCGGGAUGUUUAUUGAUGAAAAAUUAUAUUAAAGAAGUUACUAAUUUUUGUAGAUUUGUAAGAAUUUUUUUCUAUUUAAAUUAGUGCUUUUAAACCAAAUCGAGACCCGCAUGUUAACCCAUUUGAUAUGUAAUCCAAUUUGGAUCUUAAUAAAUAUUCAUUAUUUUAAAACCUUAUAAAAUCUGAAAAUGUUAAGGCCUGAGGCUAACCAGUUAAACCGAUGGGUGACCGAUAUGUAAUCCAAUUUUAUUUUAUAUUUUUGACAGCACUUUGAUUUGAAUUUUUUUUUAAAAAAAAUUAAAAACUUAUUUAUUUUAACCUAAUUGUAUUUUUAUUAUCUGAUAACUACAAUUUGUUAUAAUUUGUUUUAGAUAUCUAUUUAUAUCUAUAAAAUAUAAUGAAAAACUAUUUUAAAAUUUUACUAUAUUUUUAAACAUGAUUUUUGUAUUUUAAUAUUAAUAUAUGUAUUUGUAUAUUAAAAUGAAAUAAAUUAUUGACCAAUGGCUCACCCGCGGUCAUCCUAAUAACCUAAUGACCAAAAAUAUUCCGGUUCAGUGUCGGGUUUAAAAACUUUAAUUUAACCAUAUUUUACUUUUAUAUUUUCUUAUAAUGUCAUUCAUUAAAUUUUAGGAAAAAGAUAUAUGAUUUAUAUACUAAAUCUUUGUAUUGAUUAUAUCCCAAAAGUUAAUAGAAUGUAUUGGCUGCCUCCAAUUAUAAUGGUAUAAUCCAGUAUUAGAGAUAAAUAAACAUUUAUAUUUUAUGGUUAACUAAUUUAGAGCCACGGUUUAGAUUUGAGCGGUGAAAUUUUGGAGCGGGAUGAAGUAUAGGAUGUUAAUAGAAUUGUGGUAAAAAAAAGGAUGUUAAUAGAUAAAUAAUAUAUAUUUAAAACAUUAAAUAAGAAUUUUAAACAUAGUUUAAAAAAGAAUUCUAAAAUUUCAAAAUAAAAUUUAUUUAUUUAUUUUAAAUAGUAUAAGGUUGUCAAUUUUGGUAUAACAUAUAGUUUGAAAAAAAAAAUUCACUUAGACACAAGUUAGCUCCAAUUUUGUGCUUCUAUUUUAAGAAUUAAUGAUUUUGACACCCAUUUCCAAAUAUGGAAUUAAUUAUUCUUUGUCGAAAAUUUUAAUUUUUAAUUAAAAUGUGUACAUACUAUAUAUUUAAUUUUUCAGUGUGCAUAAAUUUCUCUUGGCGACAUAUAAGUAAAAAAGUAUAUAAAUGUUGAAUUAUUUAUUAUUAUAUUGUUUUUAAACUGUUAUAUAUUAUAUUGUAAUUUUUUUGAUUAUAUGUUUUCAUAUAAUUUUAUCCCAUUCCAUCUAAUGAAAUUUACAAAACAUUGUUUUAAAAUGAGCUAUUGUUAGAAGUGGGUGCUGACAUAAUAAAAUUGUAAUGAAUAAUGAGGUAUUUAAUAUGCAGCAGAUUUAUAUAAGAGAAAUUCUUUUGUAUAGCUUUUUUUGUUUAUUUUCAGAAAAUAGCUAUUAAGGAGGAAAAUGACCAAAAGAAGAGUAAAUAUGCACUUAUAUCCCUAUAAUUAACUAAUUUAGACUUAUGGUUUAGAGUUAGAGGGUGGAAUUUCAAAUUUAAAAAAAAAACUAUAAAUUUUUCAAAAUAAAAAUUAUUAUUUUGAUCAUUUUAUUUUUUUGAAUAUUAUUUUUGUGACAAAAACUUAAAGUGGACUAUUUGAGAGAAUUUUCCUUUAUAUAACUUCUACAUAAAUUUAUGAUUAAAAGUAUUUUAAGUUGUGAUUUUUUUUUGUUGACCAAAAAAAAAGAACAUUAGUUAAACAGAACAAUUCAAGUGGAGACUUAUGAGACCCAUUAAUAAAAACUGAUAUAUAUAUAUAUAUAUGUAGUUUCCUAAAAAUAUCUCUAGACAUAAAUCUUAAUAACUAAAAUUAUUAAAAGAAAACAAAUACUAUAAUUAAAUGGUACACUUAUAAAUACUAAAGCAAAUGAAGAAGACCUAAAAAUGGUUUAUAUUUUAAUAGUAUAGAUAUUAGAUUUUGUUGUGAGCAGAUGAAGAAAAGUAAAAUAUUAGUGAAUGAUUUUCUAUUCUCCAACUUGAACCAUCCUCUCCAACCGAUUGAGAUAUGAUUUCUAACAAAUGAUAAGAAUGAUUGUAGGACUAUUAUCAAGAAAAUAGUAAGAAGUUUUUUUUUUUUGGAAUAAAUAUAGUAAGAAGUUAAUGAAUCCACUUACAUUCUUAUAUGCAAUUAAUAUAAUCUCUAACAUUUCACCAGAUUAUGCAGUGUCAGUUUCCGAAUAUGUAGAGGACGUUUUACUUGGAUUCACCAAAGCUAUAUUGAGUUCCCGGAGUUUGAUAAAAUUAAUUGGGGCAGGUUUAUAUUUAUAUGAAUUGUGUACGAUAUGGUUCCGAUUAGAGUUAAAUUAAAAUAGAUAUAUUUUCAAUUUAUUUGAAAGAUUUGCGGCUACAAAUCUUGGUAUAAUUUAUAUAACACAUGUCAAUUAUAUUAAAUGGUUUUCUGGUGCAAAUUUGAAAAUGUUUAGAAUAUAAUGAAAUUAGUAAUCUCUUUUAUUUCCAGUUCCAGAUUUUGUGUUGAUCACACAUCCACAAUC